Molecule: long non-coding RNA, 565 nt
Filed under: Medicago truncatula (barrel medic)
Lineage: Eukaryota; Viridiplantae; Streptophyta; Magnoliopsida; Fabales; Fabaceae
Description: lncRNA gene2640
Source: RNAcentral
UGGGAAUCACAUUUGAAAGAAUGGGAACAUGAUGAGGGUUCCUGGUACCUGAUAGAUCUUUCAGGUUCUGCAGUAGCAUUUUUACUCUGAGGCAGAUCCUUUUGGUUUUUGUGUGACUUUGGCAUGAAUGUCUGCUUUUAUGAGGAGGUUGUGCUUUGUGUUAUUUAGGCUUUACUUGUCCAGCGUGGUUGCAAUCUUCAAUUUCUGGCCGAGCUUGAAGUUUUGUUUCGAAUUUUUAUCGGCUUAGUUAAGUCCGGUCUGCUGCUAUUGUGUGUCUUUAGUGGGUAUUGGAUGUUUUGUUUUUCGCUUUCUUGUUGCUAGUAGCAAGUGUUGGCCUUUUUGUGAGACUAGAAUGUAUGUCUUAGGUGUUGUUUUUUCUUGUGGGAGGCCAUGUUGUUCUAGUUUUAGUAGGUAGUUUAAUUCCUCUCUUUUCCUUAUUGGACUUCUCUAUUGUAAUCUCUUUUCCUUAAUAGGAACUGGUUCAUGAAAGAUAUUAAAACUUGCAUCUUGUUCUUACACUAGUUUUCUUAUAAGUUUAACAUUGGAUUAUACAUCACUGUACUUU